GCCUAAUACAUGCAAGUCGAACGGUGGUAGCAAUACCAUAGUGGCGCACGGGUGCGUAACGCGUAACCAACCUGCCCCGAUCUGGGGGAUAGCCCGCCGAAAGGCGGAUUAAUACCGCAUAACCCAACAAGGUGGCAUCACCUAAUUGGUAAAGAUUUAUUGGAUCGGGAUGGGGUUGCGUGACAUUAGCUAGUUGGCGGGGUAACGGCCCACCAAGGCGACGAUGUCUAGGGGACCUGAGAGGGUGAUCCCCCACACUGGCACUGAGAUACGGGCCAGACUCCUACGGGAGGCAGCAGUAGGGAAUAUUGGGCAAUGGACGAGAGUCUGACCCAGCCAUGCCGCGUGCCGGAUGAAGGCCUUCUGGGUUGUAAACGGCUUUUCUCAGGGAAGAAAAAGGGGAUGCGUCCUCAACUGACGGUACCUGAGGAAUAAGCACCGGCUAACUCCGUGCCAGCAGCCGCGGUAAUACGGAGGGUGCAAGCGUUGUCCGGAUUUAUUGGGUUUAAAGGGUGCGUAGGCGGCUUGUUAAGUCCGGGGUGAAAGCCCACUGCUCAACAGUGGAACUGCCCUGGAUACUGGCAAGCUUGAGUCCAGACGAGGUUGGCGGAAUGGAUGGUGUAGCGGUGAAAUGCAUAGAUACCAUCCAGAACCCCGAUUGCGAAGGCAGCUGACUAGGCUGGUACUGACGCUGAGGCACGAAAGCGUGGGGAGCGAACAGGAUUAGAUACCCUGGUAGUCCACGCCGUAAACGAUGGAUACUCGCUGGUGGCGAUAGAUAGUCACUGGCUUAGCGAAAGCGGUAAGUAUCCCACCUGGGGAGUACGCUCGCAAGAGUGAAACUCAA
Molecule: ribosomal RNA, 847 nt
Filed under: uncultured Bacteroidota bacterium
Lineage: Bacteria; Pseudomonadati; Bacteroidota
Description: bacterial SSU rRNA
Rfam family: Bacterial small subunit ribosomal RNA
Source: RNAcentral